UGGUCCUAGCCUUACCAUCAAGUUUUACUUAAUUUACACAUGCAAGUUUCCGCACCCCGGUGAAAACGCCCUUAAACUCCUUCUAGGAGCACGGAGCUGGUAUCAGGCCCAACCCGCUUUGCCCAUGACACCUAGCCACGCCACACCCCCAAGGGUACUCAGCAGUGAUUAACAUUAAAAAUUAGCGACAGCUAGAUUUAGUUAAAGUAAAAAGGGCCGGCAAAUCUGGUGCCAGCCGCCGCGGCUACACCACGAGGCCCAAUUUGAUGGUCACCGGCGUAAAGCGUGAUUAAAGCGCAUAUUACAACUAGAGCUAAAUUAUAGUUGCACUGUGAUAAGUUUACUAUUUAGAAAACCGAGAACGAAAGUCGCUCUAGCCCAAUCUACUUGAACUCACGACAGCUAAGAAACAAACUGAGAUUAGAUACCUCACUAUGCUUAGCCGUAAACCCUUUAACUACCCACCAAAUCGCCCGGGAACUACGAGCCCAGCCUUAAAACCCAAAGGACUUGACGGUGCCCCACAUCCCCCUAGAGGAGCCUGUCCUAUAAUCGAUGAUCCACGUUUUACCUCACCUCUUCUUGCCAACCCGCCUGUAUACCUCCGUCGUCAGCUCACCGCAUGAGCGGUUAAUAGUGAGCAAAAUGGCCUAGCGCCAAAACGUCAGGUCAAGGUGCAGCAUAUGAAGAGGGCAGAGAUGGGCUACAUUUUCUAAACUAGAAAAUAACGAAAGACUUAAUGAAACCAAGUCAGAAGGCGGAUUUAGCAGUAAAAGGAAACCAGAAAGUCCCUUUUAACACGGCCCAGGGGCAUGUACACACCGCCCGUCGCCCUCUUCGCUGUACCAAGACAGUAUUUAACUAUCUACAACUCCCAAGAAGAGGUAAGUCGUAACAUGGUAAGUAUACCGGAAGGUGUGCUUGGAAC
RNAcentral lists this non-coding RNA (928 nucleotides) under Neobatrachus sudelli (Sudell's frog). RNAcentral's name for it is "partial 12S ribosomal RNA". It matches the Rfam family "Bacterial small subunit ribosomal RNA". Lineage: Eukaryota; Metazoa; Chordata; Amphibia; Anura; Limnodynastidae. The record is from RNAcentral.